UACGUAGGGGGCAAGCGUUGUCCGGAUUUAUUGGGCGUAAAGAGCGUGUAGGCGGCUUUGCAAGUCGGGUGUGAAAGCCCUCAGCUCAACUGAGGAAGUGCGCCCGAAACUGCAGAGCUUGAGUGCCGGAGAGGGUGGCGGAAUUCCCCAAGUAGAGGUGAAAUUCGUAGAUAUGGGGAGGAACACCGGUGGCGAAGGCGGCCACCUGGACGGUAACUGACGCUGAGACGCGAAAGCGUGGGGAGCAAACAGG
RNAcentral lists this ribosomal RNA (253 nucleotides) under uncultured bacterium. RNAcentral describes it as "partial 16S ribosomal RNA". It matches the Rfam family "Bacterial small subunit ribosomal RNA", at positions 524 to 776 of the family's 1533-position model. The record is from RNAcentral.